Molecule: long non-coding RNA, 4238 nt
Filed under: Musa acuminata (dwarf banana)
Lineage: Eukaryota; Viridiplantae; Streptophyta; Magnoliopsida; Zingiberales; Musaceae
Description: long non-coding RNA (MACU_LNC007415)
Source: RNAcentral
GAAACAGGACUACUAUACUAGUUGGGGAUUAAACUACCCAAAGAGAUGAAUUCCUACUACUCUGGAAAGCCUUAGCCUUUGACUCUAGAAUGAAACCUAGAAACUCUAAACUACUGGCAAAGAAUAAAUAUAGCAACUAUUAACUACUGGCAAAGAAUGAACUCAGUACUAGCAUCGAGGAAUCGGUUGGCUUACUCCCUCAUAGCUUAGGGCUUACUCAUAAGUUGACGGAUUAUAAUAAGGCUCCCUUCUUCUGGGCUUACUCAUAACAAGUGGUGGGCCUGCUCUGGCUCUUUUAAUUACUUCUAUUUACAAAGAUAGUAGCCGGAGUCUUAUACUAACCACUCAAGUUCUGGCAACUUAAUCUAAGGGCAACCUCGGAUCCUAUACCUCUGGCUACAAGAACUAUCCUUUUGCUCAUAUACAAGAAUUCUUAUCCUACCGAACACACACAGGACUGGACUCGUUCUCAACUUUCUUGUGGACUUCUCCAGCUUCUAAGUAUUACUCUUAUCCUUCUCAUUCUUCUGAGUCACAGAUACAGAAGAGGUCCAUUCUUUCUCAGUAUUAGCAAGGGUGUCAAGUGAGUAGGCUAAAAUGCACUAGAACAGAACAAAAGUCGUUUUCUGGUCAAUGACAUGAAAAACUUCUUGGCGAUGCGAAAUGCAGCUCCUUUUAUUGUAUAUAAAUUCUGGUCUCAAGUAUCAAACCUUAAAGUAGUGCUCCAGUUGCAUCAGUGAGAGUUGAGGCCCUUAUAGUCAGUUUGCAAGUACUGUGAUAGUUUCAUGCCCAGUUGAACCCCUUAUUGAAUUCGUUGUCGGUGGAAAGGGAACCAGCUGACUAGAUCUUAUGGUCAGAGGGCUGACUAGAUCUUAUGAUCAGAGAAUUAAUACCCGAGUGACUUGGCUGAUAGCAAUGAUUCACUUCAAGUCCACUAACCCAACAGAGGAAUAUGUUUCAAGAAGAAAGCAAUCUUGCUAGUAAGUAGGCAAAAGGCAAAGGUGAACUCAGCUAUCAAAGACAGGACUUGCUACUAUUUAUGUGCUCGGGAGCCAAGUAUUUAUAAGUUGCAAGUAGUGAAUUCCAGAAUUGACCUAAGCAGCAUCGGAAUCAAACUCUACAGCCCUUAUUCUAAUUCGGCCGAGCACCAACUAACAGAAUGUAACCACUGGGGGCAAGACUUCAACAAGGUAGUCAAAUAAUUCCAAUACAACUAGAAGCGGGGGAUCAGGGGGGCUUUGGAGAGGUGUCUUAGCCUUACACUUACUGGUGUAAUUCUUGACUUCAGUACUUAUAGCUUAGCUUCAAAGCCAACUUACUAUAAGGGCAACUACUACUGUGCAUUCAGCUCAUCUAACAACUUAAUAUAAGGGCAACAAUUCUUCAUUCUGAUCUUACUACCAGUGAGUGGAAUUAAGAGAUCCGUUCACCUAUAUAAAGAGAAUAUAACAUCCAGUAGAUUUUCCUAUACUAAGUCAGUACUGAGUUGGUACAUGAUAAAGAUGUCGACUUUUCUUCUUUAUUUAGCUAUUCCUAGGGUGUUAAGUCGACUCGAGACUCCUUCCCAAAAGUGAACCGAUCCCUUUCCCUAACUAGCAAGUAAGUAAACUAAGUCAGUAAACUAAGUAAGUCAACAAGCCUACCCGGAGACAAAGUCAGCAAGCAAAGGAAAGGAGUGUACUCUCUAGUUACAUACAGAUUUCUAUACUAACCUAUCAAUGAACGUGAAUUCAUAAAUUCAAAAGGUGAACUCGCAAUUAAAGGCGACCUAGGAUUCCAGUCUUGUAUUAUUUCCUUCCCGCUCCAUGGGCUAUCUUAACUUCCAACACAGAGAUCCUUGUCUGAACUCCCUUCCUUCCCUUUUGCCGAGUUAACGUUAACAAAUACUUUCUUUUUGAAUCCGUCGUGGUCAACUUUCAAACUCAUAACUAAACUAUCAAAGCAGCUUACUUUCGCCUUAACUGGACUGGAGCAGAACCAUUCUCGUCGACAACACCUUUCUUUCGCACAGAUCCUUCUUAUCAUUUUGAUUAAGAUCUAAUUACCACCUAUGGUAUAUACUAAAUCUAAACUUAACCGAUUGGGACUGACAUGCCUUAACGCUUUCUUAAUUCAUUUCCUCUCUCGCGGUCAGGUUAACACAACUAUCCCUGAUGUCACUGACGAACUUGAUCCUUCCUUUGCCGAAGAUCCUUAUUCUAUAACAGCUAUUUAUUCUCUUACUGCCGAUUCAGUUACUCGAUUUUUAGUUUGAAGGCGAUGGCUCACUGCCGCCCUUUUAGCUCCUACCGCCCUUUUAGCUCCUACCGCUUGGAACUCGCUACCGCCCUGACUGAAUACCAGACUCCAGAAUUACGAGUUAUAAUACAUCUAUUUGCCCGAACACAGGACUUGGGGAAGAAACUGAAUCCGGGUUGACUGUUCCAACAAACUGAUUCCACAGCUUCCCGACCCGACCUCGACUCAAGCUUGCUUCCUUGCCGGAUAGCUUUCAUUGCUUCCCUUUCAGACCAGACCCGACCUAAACUCUCAAGUGAGAAUGGAAUUGCACCUAUGGAGCACCCGGCUUCUGAUCUUAGAACUGGAAGAAGCUUUUAACCGAUCUUAUAACUGAUAUGAUAUUCUUUCUUUCUUUAGAAUAUGAUUAAACUACGGGCCAAGCUACUGGGCAAGUCACAUAUACAAAGACUGAUUAUCCUACUGAUUCUCUUUCGUCACCAACUAAUACAGAUGAAACAAAUCAUUCCACUCGCUAACUACAGGCUCGGCUCAUCUAACUCAAUUCAUUUCUUUUCUACCUGAAUUAGGCUCACAAACACAUAGCAAGUAUCAGGUGCAUCUACCGGGGUCAACAACUACAGAUGAAACAGGAUCACUACUAGUUGGGGCAAGAACUAGACUUUCUUCAUAACAGACCUCAACUCAAGCUUUCAUUAUAUAUUAGGCCCGCUCUUGCUUCUGUUGAAACUACUGAUUCUCGGGUUACUCCUGACUUCGGGCUUACUCAACCCUAGUAACUGACUGAAUAACUAGUAACUGACUUCAUAACUAGUAACGGACUUCGGGCUAACUCAUAACUAGUAACUUCCUUCCUAGCCUAGUAACUUCAUUAAACAAGUAAGUCAACUCAUUCUUCUUUCUGAACUGAAAGUCCAGUGUUCGCCUUAUGUACUAGGUCUUAUACUAGAUGCUUACUCCUAGAUGCAGAGAAUUCAUACCAAUAGUACUGGAUCUGAUCUCAGUUACCACAAAUCUCCCCAUUAUUGAAUUAGUCGUUUCUUCUGCCCUUAAUUAAUUGGCUUAAGGAGUGAAUUCAAGCUAUUCCACUAAGGAAGUCCAGCUAUUCCACUAAGGUAAAUAACCUAUCUUCUUUCUACAAUACAUAUGAAACAGGACAACUACUUAAAGGGGCAAUAACUAGACUUUCAUAACGGACCUUGAACUAGACUAACACGAAUUAGAAUAAGGUCUCUUUCCUUUAAGAAUGGAGUUUGGAACUUUCUAGCUAAAUCCUCUGAUUCGACUGGACCACUCUACUACUAUCGGUGGGCUUACUCUACCUUAUGUACUAGGACAAUUCUGUAAUUCAAUUGCUUCAUAGCUUAACUACAGCACCGAACCUUUCUCUUUGAAACCACCAACAAGGGAUUCCACUCGCCAACUAGUGCUUUUAACCUAACCUACCGCCAAACAACUACCCUCGCAUCAAAGCUGAUACUUGUUUCUGACACCGAGUCACAAAAUACUGAUCGCGCAGAAGGUUACUUAUUUAGCCUAAUUGAACUCCGUAGCCAGAGAAAGAUUAGAUGGAAAGGCUUCGGUUAUUGUUGCCAGAGAAGAGGAUAGGCGCAUCACCCUGAAAACAGCCCUUUUACGGGGAUCAACCAAAUGCAGAUUUCUGGGCCCGAAAACAAUCCGCCUUUCGAAUGGAAUGUGAGUGCUACCUAUGAUAUAUGUGUGUAAUAAGCCCGAUCCCGACCCUUGUAAAUGAAGAGUUGCGGUCACCACUCGACCCUAAUAGAUUGAUUCGCUGGAUUUCUUUCUUUAUAAAUAAGCUUUAUCUUUAUCAGAAGAUUCCACUCAGGAUUCCACUGGCCCUUGACCUUGAACUGAACCUUUCCACUGCUUCCAUGAACCCUGCCCCUCUCCCUCUAGCAACUGGCUACAAUUCUCUGUGCUAAGCUCUGUGCUAAGUGAUUUCUUUAUGGAAUUUCUGAUGACACUCGGUAUUCCACUCU